RNAcentral lists this ribosomal RNA (401 nucleotides) under uncultured bacterium. Its description in RNAcentral is "bacterial SSU rRNA". It matches the Rfam family "Bacterial small subunit ribosomal RNA", at positions 355 to 774 of the family's 1533-position model. The record is from RNAcentral.
UGGGGGAUAUUGCACAAUGGGGGGAACCCUGAUGCAGCGACGCCGCGUGAGGGAAGAAGGUUUUCGGAUUGUAAACCUCUGUUCUUGGUGACGAAGAUGACGGUAGCCAAGGAGGAAGCCACGGCUAACUACGUGCCAGCAGCCGCGGUAAUACGUAGGUGGCAAGCGUUGUCCGGAAUUACUGGGUGUAAAGGGAGCGUAGGCGGGAAGAUAAGUUGGACGUUUAAACUAUCGGCUCAACCGGUAGUCGCGUUCAAAACUGUUUUUCUUGAGUGAAGUAGAGGUAAGCGGAAUUCCUAGUGUAGCGGUGAAAUGCGUAAAUAUUAGGAGGAACACCAGUGGCGAAGGCGGCUUACUGGGCUUUAACUGACGCUGAGGCUCGAAAGCGUGGGUAGCAAACA